Molecule: ribosomal RNA, 34 nt
Filed under: Sclerotinia sclerotiorum
Lineage: Eukaryota; Fungi; Ascomycota; Leotiomycetes; Helotiales; Sclerotiniaceae
Also listed under: 5 other names
Description: partial 18S ribosomal RNA
Source: RNAcentral
UACCUGGUUGAUUCUGCCAGUAGUCAUAUGCUUG